UUGAGUUGAGAUUGGUUUUAGAAUGAACGGAUUAUUUUUCACAAGCUUACUUAAGGGUUUAUACAGCUUGAGGGAAGAGAGAAGUAAUGGGUGAUGAAAUACGGUGUGAUGCGAAAUGAGAGAAAUAAAGAAAUGUAAAGGUCGUAUGAAAAUGAAAUGUGUGAGAAGUUCAUAUGAAAAUGAGAUGUGUGAAAAUAUCAUACCUUUUGAGUAAAAUAAUGAGAGAAAGAGACGGAUGUUUCAAAAUUGCAAGUACAGUCCGUUGUUAGCUGAACAUGGCGUUUUAAAGGGGAACAUCCUGAAUUUUUCUGUUUGCGAAGUUCAGGACCCUUGAAUUUGGAUAUGAAAUGUUGAGGGAGAAUAAACAGCUCCAAUUUUGUAGGAAUUGAGCCAAGGAUUACAUUGCUCCAAGAUUCUGAAAAUGUCUUUAUACAUGAUAAAAUAGUUUAAAUAAAUUAUAAAUAUUAAAGAAAAAAUCACACCAAAGCUAUACACUCCUUUUAUACUCCCUGACCCUUAGAUUUUAUUUAUAAGCAAAAUUUAGGUCAACAAAAAUCAUGCAUGUGUCUAAAUUUAUUGAUAGAAAUGUCUGUUAUAAAUAAGAUUAGAGUGUAUCAUAUGAUCUCCAUAAACUUGGUAUGGACAUUACAUAUGAGGAUGAAUUUCUAGCCACUAUGUUAUUUUUUUUUAAAAAGUAUAUCAUAUAAAAUAUUUUUUUAGGGACGUAUAGAAUAGAUAUUAUAUAAUCUAUUUAUAAAAAAUUGUGGCGUGGAUUAAAGUCGAUAAUAGUAAUCAUGUAGUAUCUAUCCCUCUCUAAAAAAAAUCACGUAGUAUCAAUCAAUAUUAAUCACAAUCAUAAGUUGCUUUCUUUUUUUAGGGGAAUCAUAAGUUGCCUUAUUAUAUGCAUAAAAAAAAAUCGUAAGUUUCCUUACAAAUAGGAGCACAACGCAAGACAGGCGUGUGUGCAUAUACAUUAGCUGAAUUGGGACCUUAGUAGUUUAGUUAGUAGUAUAAGUAAUGAGUGAUUCAAAUUUUCACUACUUCCAUUCUACCUUAAUUAAGUCGGUUCGUUCCUCUGCUCAUUCAUAUCUUUCUUUGCUUUAAAUUGUUACAUUAUUAAUUAAGAAUAUCUUUAGUAUCUUUUUAAAUUACAGUAGAGUAUCUUUUACCAUUAUAUUGUUUAUUUUUAUAAUGAUUUGUUCUUGAUUUAUGAUUGAGUGAGUUUAUGUACCUCUAUUAAUAGAGAUUACUAUUCAAGUUUUGUUAAACCCUAGCCUCUGUAAUAGAAUCCUAACUUGUUGCUUAGACAUGGUGGCCAUCAGAAAUAUUCUGCUUUUGUUUCUUUGUAUUACUGUUUUUACUCCAAUUCUGCUUUACACUUACACUGAUAAUCUCACCGCCGUCAACUACUCCUCCGGUGUGUUUCUCAUUGUUUGCUUAUUGAAUUCACAUUUCUAACUUUAACACACUAACCUAAAUUCUUUCUUUAUUUUUACUUUCUUUUUUAUGCAUUCUGCAGCUGAACAAGAGUUUGUUCAUAAUGUAACUACUUUUGUAAGUAAUAGUAUUUGAAAGAAUUAUUACUACUUUGAUUGUUUAUUUUUUGUUGAUUGAGAUCUUUGAAUUUGUCGAGUUUCUCUUGUUAUGUCAUGUCAGGUUGUCGAUCAACAAACUUAUCUGCAUAUGUGGAUGAACUCCUUGGUAAUUUAAUUUCCUGUUGAAAUUUCUCAUUUUGAUAACAGGAAAUCUCUACCGUCCUUCAGAAACCGAUUAGGGUUGUGUAUCCAGAGGACUCUUCAAACAUAAAUAAUUUGCCUCAUGAUAUAGUAAGUGACAUAUUGUUUUGCUUCUGAUCAAACAUCCGAACUAUAUAAGUGACAUAUUUACAUCAUGGUAUUGUUUUGCUUGCUAUUGUUAGUUUGUUCACCAAGGGUACAAAACAUUCCUUAGGUUUCUGGUCAUGCUAGGAAAUUUAUACUUGUCUAUUUAUAUGAGUAGGCUGUGCAUAAUUUAUCAAAUAUAGUAUUUAGUGUACUUGCUUUAAUUUGUUUUCCUAUUAGGAGUUUAAAUCUGACUGUAUUGAUAUCUCAAACACACUUCUUAAUUGUGAAAGAACACCUGUUCGUGUUUAAUGUCCUUUCGUCAGCAUGAUGGAUGCAUGGCUGAAAUGCAUCUUUGUAUGCACUUGUGGACUGUGGUUAGACACAAUUAUUUUAUGCAGGUGCUAUCAUGGCAGUGUAAAUACAACACAUGCAUGUUCGUUGGAUUCAAUAUUUCCAUCCAUCUCUUCAUUGCUUUGGCUUUGAUAUAUAUGUAUUUUGUAUAAGCGAGGAAAACAAACCUUAGUGCUGAUUGAAAUUUUCUUCUUUAAAUUUGGUUCAUCUUCUUUCAGCUUACUGAGCAAGGGAAACAACAUAUUGAAUCUCC
RNAcentral lists this long non-coding RNA (2427 nucleotides) under Medicago truncatula (barrel medic). Its description in RNAcentral is "long non-coding RNA (MTRU_LNC006600)". The record is from RNAcentral. Lineage: Eukaryota; Viridiplantae; Streptophyta; Magnoliopsida; Fabales; Fabaceae.